Molecule: RNA transcript, 1521 nt
Organism: Eucalyptus grandis
Lineage: Eukaryota; Viridiplantae; Streptophyta; Magnoliopsida; Myrtales; Myrtaceae
Gene name: mitogen-activated protein kinase kinase kinase 18
Exons: 1
Source: RefSeq, a predicted model, not a curated record
UGUUUCAUUCUUCCUCGCCAAGCAAAGCAGAAACUUUCGCAGAACAGACAGAGCAAGAAAGCGCGCGCACUCUCUCCAUCUCUUUCUCUCUCUAAAAACUUCUCUCAAAACCCUGCAAAAUACUCAAGAUUCGCGAAACCAUGGAUUGGGUCCGUGGCGAAGAGAUUGGCCACGGCGGCUUCGCCACCAUCCACCUCGCCACGCCCGCCGAAACCUGCUCCUCCGGCCGCCCUCCGGUGAUGGCCGUCAAGUCCUGCGACGCGGCCCUGUCUUCCUCCCUCAGGCACGAGAGGCGGGUCCUGAGCGAACUCGGCGACUGCCCGCGGAUCGUCCGCUGCUUCGGCCACUCGCUCACUUCUGAGCGCAGUGGCGAGGAACUCUACAACGUCCUCCUCGAGUACGCCGCCGGCGGCAGCCUCGCCGACAGCCUGAAGUCCAGAGGGAAGCCCCUCUCGGAGCCGGAGAUCAGACGCCACGCGAGGUCGAUCCUGGAGGGCCUGGAGUUCGUCCACUCCAAAGGGUUCGUCCACUGCGACGUCAAGCUCCAGAACAUCCUCGUAUUCCCCGGCAGUGGCGAAGAAGUCAAGAUCGCCGAUUUCGGCCUAUCGAAGAGAGCGGGUGAGCGGUUGUUGAAGGGCGGGAAACAGGGCGGAGUCGAGUGGCGGGGGACGCCCAUGUACAUGGCACCGGAGUCCGUGAACCGCAACGAAUAUGAGCCGGCCUCGGACAUCUGGGCGCUCGGUUGCGCGGUGGUGGAGAUGGCGACGGGGAGGCCGGCGUGGGGGUCGCGGGCCGUGUCGAACGCGUACGCCCUUAUGAUCAGAAUCGGGGUCGGAGACGAAAUCCCGGAGAUUCCAGAGGGAUUGUCGGAGCAGGGGAAGGACUUCUUGAUGAAGUGCUUCGCAAAGAACCCGAAGAAGAGGUGGACCGCCUGUAUGCUCUUGAAUCACCCUUCCUUGCCCUCGACCGCGGCAUCAACGACGAGGAGUUUGUAAGAGAUUGCGGAGUCGAAUUCCCAGAUGCCUCUCCGAGGUGCCACUUCGAUUUCCAAUCCUGGGUUUCGAUGCAAUGUUCAAGAUCGAGUUGGGAAUCAGGCUCACCUUCGCCCUCCUCGGAGAUGGAUUCUGAUCCGUCAGUCGUUGGAGAGCUCUCGUCGGAUUCUUCAUCGGUGAUCCAUCGGAUUGGCCAGUUGGCGAGCCCCGAGAGGCCUAAUUGGAUAGAUUCGGAGGGUUGGGUAACCGUUCGAUGAUCGGAAUUCGUGCCAAUUCCGAAAGCAGAGUCAGCUGGGCUUAGAACAGAGCAGAGUUCUUGGAUGAUUAUUUUUGGUUCACUCCGACGGCUCUGGUUCAAGUGAUUCGUUUUCUGUUUCUACGACUGUGAAUAUUGAUUCGGUUACUGCAGACAAGAGAUGUACAGACAGAUUUUUUCGGGAUGCAAUGAAAAGAAAAAUCAGAUCUUUUAUGCGGCUGGAAUUUUAGUUGUGCAAAGUUUGACUGAAUGCUCUGCACUUUUUUAGUGGAU